CGAAUGCUGACAUAAGUAACGAUAAAGCGGGUGAAAAGCCCGCUCGCCGGAAGACCAAGGGUUCCUGUCCAACGUUAAUCGGGGCAGGGUGAGUCGACCCCUAAGGCGAGGCCGAAAGGCGUAGUCGAUGGGAAACAGGUUAAUAUUCCUGUACUUGGUGUUACUGCGAAGGGGGGACGGAGAAGGCUAUGUUGGCCGGGCGACGGUUGUCCCGGUUUAAGCGUGUAGGCUGGUUUUCCAGGCAAAUCCGGAAAAUCAAGGCUGAGGCGUGAUGACGAGGCACUACGGUGCUGAAGCAACAAAUGCCCUGCUUCCAGGAAAAGCCUCUAAGCAUCAGGUAACAUCAAAUCGUACCCCAAACCGACACAGGUGGUCAGGUAGAGAAUACCAAGGCGCUUGAGAGAACUCGGGUGAAGGAACUAGGCAAAAUGGUGCCGUAACUUCGGGAGAAGGCACGCUGAUAUGUAGGUGAAGCGACUUGCUCGUGGAGCUGAAAUCAGUCGAAGAUACCAGCUGGCUGCAACUGUUUAUUAAAAACACAGCACUGUGCAAACACGAAAGUGGACGUAUACGGUGUGACGCCUGCCCGGUGCCGGAAGGUUAAUUGAUGGGGUUAGCGCAAGCGAAGCUCUUGAUCGAAGCCCCGGUAAACGGCGGCCGUAACUAUAACGGUCCUAAGGUAGCGAAAUUCCUUGUCGGGUAAGUUCCGACCUGCACGAAUGGCGUAAUGAUGGCCAGGCUGUCUCCACCCGAGACUCAGUGAAAUUGAACUCGCUGUGAAGAUGCAGUGUACCCGCGGCAAGACGGAAAGACCCCGUGAACCUUUACUAUAGCUUGACACUGAACAUUGAGCCUUGAUGUGUAGGAUAGGUGGGAGGCUUAGAAGUGUGGACGCCAGUCUGCAUGGAGCCGACCUUGAAAUACCACCCUUUAAUGUUUGAUGUUCUAACGUUGACCCGUAAUCCGGGUUGCGGACAGUGUCUGGUGGGUAGUUUGACUGGGGCGGUCUCCUCCUAAAGAGUAACGGAGGAGCACGAAGGUUGGCUAAUCCUGGUCGGACAUCAGGAGGUUAGUGCAAUGGCAUAAGCCAGCUUGACUGCGAGCGUGACGGCGCGAGCAGGUGCGAAAGCAGGUCAUAGUGAUCCGGUGGUUCUGAAUGGAAGGGCCAUCGCUCAACGGAUAAAAGGUACUCCGGGGAUAACAGGCUGAUACCGCCCAAGAGUUCAUAUCGACGGCGGUGUUUGGCACCUCGAUGUCGGCUCAUCACAUCCUGGGGCUGAAGUAGGUCCCAAGGGUAUGGCUGUUCGCCAUUUAAAGUGGUACGCGAGCUGGGUUUAGAACGUCGUGAGACAGUUCGGUCCCUA
This 1364-nucleotide ribosomal RNA is filed under the name Escherichia coli. RNAcentral's name for it is "partial 23S ribosomal RNA". It matches the Rfam family "Bacterial large subunit ribosomal RNA", at positions 1291 to 2640 of the family's 2925-position model. Lineage: Bacteria; Pseudomonadati; Pseudomonadota; Gammaproteobacteria; Enterobacterales; Enterobacteriaceae. The record is from RNAcentral.